Molecule: non-coding RNA, 136 nt
Organism: Hordeum vulgare subsp. vulgare (domesticated barley)
Lineage: Eukaryota; Viridiplantae; Streptophyta; Magnoliopsida; Poales; Poaceae
Source: Rfam
AAUGUACUCCCUCCGUCUCAAAAUUCUUGUCUUAUAUUUGUCUAGAUAUGAAUGUAUCUAGUCACAUUUUAAUAUUUAGCUACAUCCAUUUCCAAACAAAUCUAAGAUAAGAAUUUUGGGACGGAGGAAGUAACAU